Long non-coding RNA from Sander lucioperca (pikeperch), 570 nucleotides. RefSeq lists it as uncharacterized. The transcript has 2 exons. The record is from RefSeq and is a predicted model, not a curated record. NCBI's taxonomy places the organism in Eukaryota, Metazoa, Chordata, Actinopteri, Perciformes, Percidae.
CGCGUCGAGAACGAUUCCUACCUCGGGAAGAUAUCGCAAUAAAAGUUGUUAAAACUGAUUAAAAACUCUUUGAAAUAAUCCAGUGUGGAGCCCUGGACCUGUGAGAGUGCAGUCGGAGAGACCUGACGUCUCCCUCACGAAGAAAACACAUCGGUCAGGUUUUUUUUGUUGGACCCUUUGAACCUUUGAUCUACCUGGGUGUUGGAGCCUGAAUCGAGACGUUGAUGGCGAGCCAGAGCCCAGAGGAGAACUAGAGAUAUGGCGCCUUUCAGAAUUCGACACUUCAUUACAUACACACACCCACCACCAACUGCGCGGUAGGACAAACUCUCUCCACUUCCACAGAGGACCGAACUGAAACUGAAACUGAAUUGAAGUGACUGAAAAUGGGUGGGGGGGGGGAUUCUGAACUUUAAAUCACAGCUAUGAGUUUUGUUUCCAUUUUUUUUUUUUCUACUUACCCGGGUAAGAUUUGUGUCAUUUGAAGAGUGUGCAAUUUUUAUGUUUUUUGGCUUAUCCUUCCCAUCCAUGUAUUAAAAAGGGAAGCGUUUUUGUUUCUCAAAGAAAGUA